UUCAUUUUAUAACUUAUCGAUUUUAGCGAGAUAUCACAUGUCGAAAUCGAGAUUUAUUUAAAUAAACAGUACAAGCAAAUAUGAGCACGUGAUUCACUUUACAGUUACAGAAUCACCGAGUCAGAGAAAAUACAUCAAUAAUUCUCCUCUACAAUUUUUUUUCCUUUCUUUUUCUUCUCUUUUUCUUUCCAUUAAACUUUGUUCCCACACCACUAUCAUUAUGUUUUUCUUUCUUUUUCCCCCACCACUACACUCAAUUCUUCACCAAUGAAUUAUUAGUAUCAACCCCAGCCAACAAACAGCUCUCAAUCUCACUUCAUUUCACCGAAAAAAAAUAUUGAAGAGCAGCCCCAAUUCAUUCUGCUAAGAUCUCAAGGAACCUUAAGUUCAGUUACUCCAGUUCAACAAACAACAAUAUUUAACCAACAACACAUUUCAAGGUCAAGCACGAGAUUAAUAAUCAGUCAAGGAACUACUGUACCACAGAAAGUUUAUAUCAGGUUGAGCAGCUGCCGAUGGUGAUGAAGUGACGAGCGGGAUUCUUUUGUCUUAUUAUGUAUUAAUGAACUCUAG
Long non-coding RNA from Salvia miltiorrhiza (redroot sage), 573 nucleotides. RefSeq lists it as uncharacterized. The transcript has 4 exons. NCBI's taxonomy places the organism in Eukaryota, Viridiplantae, Streptophyta, Magnoliopsida, Lamiales, Lamiaceae. The record is from RefSeq and is a predicted model, not a curated record.